This 400-nucleotide ribosomal RNA is filed under the name uncultured bacterium. RNAcentral's name for it is "bacterial SSU rRNA". It matches the Rfam family "Bacterial small subunit ribosomal RNA", at positions 355 to 772 of the family's 1533-position model. The record is from RNAcentral.
UGGGGAAUCUUGGACAAUGGGCGAAAGCCUGAUCCAGCCAUGCCGCGUGGAUGAUGAAGGCCCUAGGGUUGUAAAAUCCUUUCGUUGGGGACGAUAAUGACGGUACCCAAAGAAGAAGCUCCGGCUAACUUCGUGCCAGCAGCCGCGGUAAUACGAAGGGGGCUAGCGUUGUUCGGAUUUACUGGGCGUAAAGCGCGUGUAGGCGGAUUUGUAAGUUGGGGGUGAAAUCCCGAGGCUCAACCUCGGAACUGCCUCCAAAACUACAAAUCUGGACUCAAGUAGAGGCAAGUGGAAUUGCGAGUGUAGAGGUGAAAUUCGUAGAUAUUCGCAGGAACACCAGUGGCGAAGGCGACUUGCUGGACUUGUAGUGACGCUGAGACGCGAAAGCGUGGGGAGCAAA